Molecule: ribosomal RNA, 254 nt
Filed under: uncultured bacterium
Lineage: Bacteria
Description: partial 16S ribosomal RNA
Rfam family: Bacterial small subunit ribosomal RNA
Source: RNAcentral
CACGUAGGGGGCGAGCGUUGUCCGGAUUUAUUGGGCGUAAAGAGCUCGUAGGCGGUUUGGCAAGUCGGGUGUGAAAUUUCGAGGCUCAACCUCGAAACGCCACUCGAUACUGCCAUGACUGGAGUCCGGUAGAGGAGUGCGGAAUUCCUGGUGUAGCGGUGAAAUGCGCAGAUAUCAGGAGGAACACCGAUGGCGAAGGCAGCUCGCUGGGACGGUACUGACGCUGAGGCGCGAAAGCGUGGGGAGCAAACAGG